AGCGAACGUUAGCGGCGGGCCUAACACAUGCAAGUCGAACGCGAAAGGUCUUCGGACUGAGUAGAGUGGCGCACGGGUGAGUAACACGUAGGUAAUCUACCCUUUGGCGGGGGGAUAACGUUCCGAAAGGAGCGCUAAUACCGCAUAAGACCACGGAGUUCUCCGGACGCUGUAGGGAAAGGUGGCCUCUUCUUGAAAGCUACCACCGAAGGAUGAGCCUGCGUCCCAUCAGCUAGUUGGUAAGGUAAUGGCUUACCAAGGCGAAGACGGGUAGCUGGUUUGAGAGAAUGAUCAGCCACACUGGCACUGGAACACGGGCCAGACUCCUACGGGAGGCAGCAGUGAGGAAUAUUGGGCAAUGGGCGAAAGCCUGACCAGCCACGCCGCGUGAGUGAUGAAGGCCCGUCGGGUCGUAAAGCUCUGUGGAGAGGGACGAAAACCCUGGUUCAAUAGGCUCCAGGCUUGACGGUACCUCUUUAGCAAGCACCGGCUAACUCUGUGCCAGCAC
This 508-nucleotide ribosomal RNA is filed under the name uncultured bacterium. RNAcentral describes it as "bacterial SSU rRNA". It matches the Rfam family "Bacterial small subunit ribosomal RNA", at positions 29 to 514 of the family's 1533-position model. The record is from RNAcentral.